RNAcentral lists this ribosomal RNA (497 nucleotides) under uncultured bacterium. Its description in RNAcentral is "partial 16S ribosomal RNA". It matches the Rfam family "Bacterial small subunit ribosomal RNA", at positions 28 to 507 of the family's 1533-position model. The record is from RNAcentral.
GAUGAACGCUGGCGGCGUGCCUAAUACAUGCAAGUCGAGCGAACAGACGAGGAGCUUGCUCCUCUGACGUUAGCGGCGGACGGGUGAGUAACACGUGGAUAACCUACCUAUAAGACUGGGAUAACUUCGGGAAACCGGAGCUAAUACCGGAUAAUAUAUUGAACCGCAUGGUUCAAUAGUGAAAGACGGUUUUGCUGUCACUUAUAGAUGGAUCCGCGCCGCAUUAGCUAGUUGGUAAGGUAACGGCUUACCAAGGCAACGAUGCGUAGCCGACCUGAGAGGGGGAUCGGCAACACUGGAACUGAGACACGGUCCAGACUCCUACGGGAGGCGGCAGUAGGGAAUCUUCCGCAAAGGGCGAAAGCCUGACGGAGCAACGCCGCGUGAGUGAUGAAGGUCUUCGGAUCGUAAAACUCUGUUAUUAGGGAAGAACAAAUGUGUAAGUAACUAUGCACGUCUUGACGGUACCUAAUCAGAAAGCCACGGCUAUCUACGUG